GUCUUUUUGUUUAUAAUUUAAAGUUUAAUCUGCCCACUGAAAAUUUUAAAGGGCUGCAGUAUAUUGACUGUACAAAGGUAGCAUAAUAAUUAGUCUUUUAAUUGAAGACUUGUAUGAAUGAUUUGAUGAAAUAUAUACUGUUUCUUUAUUAAUGUUAGAAUUUAAUUUUUUAGUCAAAAAGCUAAAAUUUUUUUAAAAGACGAGAAGACCCUAUAGAGUUUAAUUUUUUUUAUUUUAUAGGUAUUUUAUAAAAUUUAUAAUUUAUAAAAUAUAAAAAAUUUUGUUGGGGUGAUGGAAAAAUUUAAUUAACUUUUUUUAAAGAUUUAACAUAGAUUUAUGAUUUUAUGAUCCAUAAUUUAUGAUUAUAAGAUUAAAUUACCUUAGGGAUAACAGCGUAAUUUUUUUUUUUAGUUCAAAUAAAAAUUAAAGUUUGCGACCUCGAUGUUGGAUUAAGAUAAAAUUUAAAUGUAAAAGUUUAAAAUUUUGAUCUGUUCGAUCAUUAAAAUCUU
This 509-nucleotide ribosomal RNA is filed under the name Aporia goutellei. Its description in RNAcentral is "partial 16S ribosomal RNA". Lineage: Eukaryota; Metazoa; Arthropoda; Insecta; Lepidoptera; Pieridae. The record is from RNAcentral.